Oncorhynchus tshawytscha (Chinook salmon) is the source of this 603-nucleotide long non-coding RNA. The record is from Ensembl. Lineage: Eukaryota; Metazoa; Chordata; Actinopteri; Salmoniformes; Salmonidae.
UGGUGGUGGUGUGGGCUGCCAUGGUGGUGGUGGUGGUGGUGGAGUGGGCUGCCAUGGUGGUGGUGGUGGUUUAGGCUACCAUGGUGGUGGUGGUGGUGGUGUGGGCUACCAUGGUGGUGGUGGUGGUGGUGGUGGAGUGGGCUGCCAUGGUGGUGGUGUGGGCUACUAUGGUAGUGGUGGUGGUGUGGGCUACCAUGGUAGUGGUGGAGGUGUGGGCUACCAUGGUGGUGGCGGUAUGGGCUACCAUGGUGGUGGUUGUGUGGGCUACCAUGGUGGUGGUGGUGUGGGCUACCAUGUUGGUGGAGGUUGUGUGGGCUACCACGGUGGUGGUGGUGUGGGCUAACGUAUUGGUGGAUGUGUGGGCUACCGUGGUGGUGGUGGUGUUGGAUAUUCCGUGGUGGUGGUGGUGUGGGCUACUGUGGUAGUGGUGUGGGCUACCAUGGUGGAGGUGGUGUGGGCUACCAUGGUGGUAGUGUGGGCUACCGUGGUGGUGGUGGUGGUGGUGUGGGCUACCGUGGUGGUGGAGGUGGUGUGGGCUACAGUGGUGGUGGUGUGGGCAACCAUGGUGGUGGUGGUGUGGGCUAACAUGGUGGAGGUGUCGUG